This 253-nucleotide ribosomal RNA is filed under the name uncultured bacterium. Its description in RNAcentral is "partial 16S ribosomal RNA". It matches the Rfam family "Bacterial small subunit ribosomal RNA", at positions 524 to 776 of the family's 1533-position model. The record is from RNAcentral.
UACGAAGGGGGCUAGCGUUGUUCGGAUUUACUGGGCGUAAAGCGCAUGUAGGCGGGCCUGCAAGAUGGGGGUGAAAUCCCGGGGCUCAACUCCGGAACUGCCUCCAAAACUGCAGGGCUGGAGGAUGUGAGAGGCGGGUGGAAUUCCGAGUGUAGAGGUGAAAUUCGUAGAUAUUCGGAAGAACACCGGUGGCGAAGGCGGCCAACUGGCUCAUUGCUGACGCUGAGGUGCGAAAGCGUGGGGAGCAAACAGG